RNAcentral lists this unclassified non-coding RNA (254 nucleotides) under Patescibacteria group bacterium. RNAcentral's name for it is "contains 16S-23S intergenic spacer region". It matches the Rfam family "Bacterial small subunit ribosomal RNA", at positions 524 to 776 of the family's 1533-position model. The record is from RNAcentral.
UACGGAGGUGGCAAGCGUUGUCCGAUGUUAUUGGGCGUAAAGAGUUCUGUAGGCUGAAAUAUAAGUUAUAUGUUAAAUACCCCGGCUUAACCGGGGAUAUGCAUGUAAUACUGUAUUUCUAGAGCAAGAUAGGGGCUAGCGGAACGUACGGUGUAGUAGUGAAAUGCGUUGAUAUCGUACGGAACACCAAAGGCGAAGGCAGCUAGCUGGAUCUUUGCUGACGCUAAGAGACGAAAGCGUGGGUAGCAAAAGGG